UACGUAGGACCCCAAGCGUUGUCCGGAUUUACUGGGUGUAAAGGGAGCGCAGGCGGAUUAUUAAGUCGAUUGUGAAAUCUUGCGGCUCAACCGCAAAACAGCAGUCGAUACUGGUGAUCUUGAGUGUGGAAGAGAGUGGCGGAAUUCAUGGUGUAGCAGUGAAAUGCGUAGAUAUCAUGAAGAACACCGGUUGCGAAGGCGGCCACUUAGUCCAUUACUGACGCUCAUGCUCGAAAGCGUGGNGUCACACGAGUAUACNUNA
RNAcentral lists this ribosomal RNA (262 nucleotides) under uncultured archaeon. Its description in RNAcentral is "partial 16S ribosomal RNA". It matches the Rfam family "Bacterial small subunit ribosomal RNA", at positions 524 to 785 of the family's 1533-position model. The record is from RNAcentral.